Molecule: ribosomal RNA, 304 nt
Filed under: uncultured bacterium
Lineage: Bacteria
Description: partial 16S ribosomal RNA
Rfam family: Bacterial small subunit ribosomal RNA
Source: RNAcentral
CAGCAGCCGCCGCGGGAAUACAGAGGGUGCGAGCGUUAAUCGGAUUUACUGGGCGUAAAGCGUGCGUAGGCGGCUUUUUAAGUCGGAUGUGAAAUCCCUGAGCUUAACUUAGGAAUUGCAUUCGAUACUGGGAAGCUAGAGUAUGGGAGAGGAUGGUAGAAUUCCAGGUGUAGCGGUGAAAUGCGUAGAGAUCUGGAGGAAUACCGAUGGCGAAGGCAGCCAUCUGGCCUAAUACUGACGCUGAGGUACGAAAGCAUGGGGAGCAAACAGGAUUAGAUACCCCCGUAGUCCCUGUCUCUUAUAC